AGCCUGUGAUGAAGAAAAUUGAAUAAGAGUAGUGGACAGAAGUGGUUUCUGAAAAAUACUUCUGAGGCU
This is a small nucleolar RNA of Ictalurus furcatus (blue catfish), 69 nucleotides long. RefSeq annotates it as small nucleolar RNA SNORD75. The transcript has a single exon. NCBI's taxonomy places the organism in Eukaryota, Metazoa, Chordata, Actinopteri, Siluriformes, Ictaluridae. The record is from RefSeq and is a predicted model, not a curated record.